GACGAACGCUGGCGGCGUGCUUAACACAUGCAAGUCGAGCGGUAAGGCCCUUUCGGGGGUACACGAGCGGCGAACGGGUGAGUAACACGUGGGUGACCUGCCCUUAGCUCUGGGAUAAGCCUGGGAAACUGGGUCUAAUACCGGAUAUGACUCCAUGACGCAUGUUGUGGGGUGGAAAGCCUUGUGCGGCUAGGGAUGGGCCCGCGGCCUAUCAGCUUGUUGGUGGGGUGAUGGCCUACCAAGGCGACGACGGGUAGCCGGCCUGAGAGGGCGACCGGCCACACUGGGACUGAGACACGGCCCAGACUCCUACGGGAGGCAGCAGUGGGGAAUCUUGCGCAAUGGGGGAAACCCUGACGAAGCAACGCCGCGUGGAGGAUGAAGGCC
This 387-nucleotide ribosomal RNA is filed under the name uncultured bacterium. Its description in RNAcentral is "bacterial SSU rRNA". It matches the Rfam family "Bacterial small subunit ribosomal RNA", at positions 28 to 416 of the family's 1533-position model. The record is from RNAcentral.